CAGUAUUUGUUCACCAGAGCGGACGUGCUUCCUGAGCCGUACAUAGAGGUCCUGAAGCAGUUGUAGGACUCGCUUCCUCCACGCCCUCUUGAAGAGGUUCGUGGAACCAUAGAAAAAGAACUUGGUAAACCCAUGAGUGAACUCUUUGCUACUUUUGACCUUGACCCUCUUGCAACCGCAUCAAUAGCACAGGUUCAUCGUGCAACUCUGGAAGAUGGU
Long non-coding RNA from Hordeum vulgare subsp. vulgare (domesticated barley), 219 nucleotides. RefSeq lists it as uncharacterized. NCBI's taxonomy places the organism in Eukaryota, Viridiplantae, Streptophyta, Magnoliopsida, Poales, Poaceae. The transcript is spliced from 3 exons. The record is from RefSeq and is a predicted model, not a curated record.